Centropristis striata (black sea bass) is the source of this 2277-nucleotide long non-coding RNA. RefSeq lists it as uncharacterized. Lineage: Eukaryota; Metazoa; Chordata; Actinopteri; Perciformes; Serranidae. The record is from RefSeq and is a predicted model, not a curated record. The transcript is spliced from 3 exons.
GUACAACAGCGCAGUUUUUAUUCUUCUUUACAUGAGAAAAGUUUCCAUUUUCCCUCAAAACAAAUGAAGUGAAGCCACAGAACAGAGAGCAGCGACUCAAAAACAUCUCAGAGAUUAAAAAUCAACCUUCAGUUGUGUUUCUCUGCACAUUUUAAAUGUUUCUUUAGUUUAAAUAUCCUAAAACUUGAUUUGUCUGAAAGCUAAUAGAUAAAUAAAAAUCAAUGAUUUAAUGUUGCCCAUUUGAAACCCGCAUAAAGCUUUGAUCACAUUUCAACCUGUAAUGUGUAAUGUAAUGGGGAAAUAACAUUUACAGAAAUUAGAAAUGAAUCUUCCCGCCCUCCUCGUCUCUCUGCACACCUGAGACCUGUCAGCUGAUCAGGACUCACCUGCUGCAGCAGAAAUACUAGUUCUCUGACUGAUCGUCAAGAGAGAAUUUAGUGCAAAUUUUAGCCACAUUUUAAAGGAUUUUUGGUCCAAAGACAACACUAAUGGACACCUGUGUCCACCACUGUUUGGGGAUGUAGGUGUCUCUGAAGGUGCCUUUGACAAACCGGAGCACCAGCGAGCUCUUCCCCACGCCGCCGGCUCCGAACACCACCACCCGGUAGUCGUUACUCUGCUCGGGCAUUCUGGGAGUUGAAGUCCACCUGCUGCUCUGGAAAGCUGAUCUCCGUGACAUUUAAAUCUUCAGCGGCUGAAGCAUCCGGUGGGCGCCUCGUCCUCUCUGAACUCUGCGAGUGUAUUCACAGAUAACGUGACGAACGGGAAUGAAAGGAGAAGAAGGAGCUCGGGCCUCGGGGAGUUUCCCAGCAUGCCGAGCUGUAUUCCCCCACAGAAUGACUAACGAGCAUUGAUCAGAGCUUCGCGUGUCGUUAAAGAAUAGAGCUGAUAAAAGCCGGAGAGGAGAGAAAACUACCGCUUUUAUUAUUAUCUAUUUAUGCAACAAACUGCUUUCACUAAGAGUUAUUUUAUAUUUGGGGGCUUAGAAACAAGAUUUAACACUUUUGACUGCAGAAUAUUUCAAUGGGCUUUUCUCACUGUUUUAUAAUGUUUUUAGUACCAAAUUCUUAAUUGAUUAAAUGACAAAAUAAUAAAUAUACACAAAAUUAUAAAUUAACACAAUUGUUAUAUUAAGCCCUAGUUUCAACACAUAAAAAAAAAUUAUAACACAAUAAAAAUAAAAAAUUAAAAUAUGAAUGAUGAGAAUGUAUAUUUAACUUGUAAAUCAGUCUCGGUUAACCCACAAAAAAAUCAAACAAGGCUUAUUUUGUUAUUAGGAGAAAAAGGUCAAAUGAUACAAUUAAUGUUUAAAUAUUUACAUGUUUAAAAAAAUGGACAAACAAAUUUGGUGUCUAUGCAGCGAUUCAGAUUUUUCUCUUUUUUUUUGUUUUACUUAUAUAAACAGUAAACUUGCGAACAUAAACAACAUAAAGACGAGACAGAGUCAGUCCAGUGUUUCCCUGUAAUAAAUCUGCGCUGAACUCUUUAAUAAUGCGUCUCCGGCUGACAGCCUCCUGCAGCUCACAGAUCCAGACUGUGAUAACGUCUGCACAACAAGACACGAUACCAUCGCACCAUCCGCCUCGUUCUCCCACUGCUUCCUGCUGCAAGAGCCAAGCUGGACUCAGCAUCACAGUCUGCGUCUGUACACCUCUCUGUCUAUCUAUCGAUGUAUAAAUGUAUGUAUAACUUAGAAAGUGUUUAUAUCUCAAGAAUGCACUUUAAAAUAAAUCACUGGGUCAGGAUCUCUGAAUUAAAUAUUCAUAAUGAAACAAUUUACAGCACAUUAACCUCUACAGUGCGAGUAUUUAACUAUUUAACUAUUUAUUUAAAAGCAUUCUGUCUAAUGUCCAGCAGGGGGCGACUCUACUGGCUGCAAAAAGAAGUCUGUUUGUAUAGAAGUCAAUAGAAAUAUGAGCCGACUUCUCUCUUGAUUUCUGACCUCAGUAAACAUUCUCAUAAUGACUUUAUGGUCUCAGUCGUUAGUUUCAGGUCUUCUUCAGUACAGCGUGAUGUUUAUUUAGUCAAUUGUUAUUCUAAAUAAUAUAAUAAAUAAAAUAUAAAUAAUAUAAAAUAUUUUAAAUGAUUUAAAACGACAUACAAUUAAAUAUAAAAAAAUGUAAUUAAUUAAAACCUAGCUUGAGACUUGAAUAUGAUAAUUAUGUUUAAAAAAAAUAACAGUAAUAAAUAAUAUAUAAAUAUUACAAAAAAAUUAAGAAAAAAAUAAGAAGAAAACAAUAGAUCUAGCAUUUGACUUAAAUAUGAAUAAUAUAAAAA